CCUACGGUGGGCAGCAGUGGGGAAUAUUGGACAAUGGGCGAAAGCCUGAUCCAGCCAUGCCGCGUGUGUGAAGAAGGCCUUCGGGUUGUAAAGCACUUUCAGUGGGGAAGAAAGCCUUGGGGCUAAUACCCUCGAGGAAGGACAUCACCCACAGAAGAAGCACCGGCUAACUCCGUGCCAGCAGCCGCGGUAAUACGGAGGGUGCGAGCGUUAAUCGGAAUUACUGGGCGUAAAGCGCGCGUAGGCGGUCUGAUAAGCCGGUUGUGAAAGCCCCGGGCUCAACCUGGGAACGGCAUCCGGAACUGUCAGGCUAGAGUGCAGGAGAGGAAGGUAGAAUUCCCGGUGUAGCAGUGAAAUGCGUAGAGAUCGGGAGGAAUACCAGUGGCGAAGGCGGCCUUCUGGACUGACACUGACGCUGAGGUGCGAAAGCGUGGGUAGCAAACAGGAUUAGAUACCCCUGUCGUC
This 465-nucleotide ribosomal RNA is filed under the name Vreelandella stevensii. RNAcentral describes it as "partial 16S ribosomal RNA". It matches the Rfam family "Bacterial small subunit ribosomal RNA", at positions 338 to 795 of the family's 1533-position model. Lineage: Bacteria; Pseudomonadati; Pseudomonadota; Gammaproteobacteria; Oceanospirillales; Halomonadaceae. The record is from RNAcentral.